Molecule: ribosomal RNA, 439 nt
Filed under: uncultured bacterium
Lineage: Bacteria
Description: bacterial SSU rRNA
Rfam family: Bacterial small subunit ribosomal RNA
Source: RNAcentral
ACGCGCGAAACCUUACCAGGUCUUGACAUCCUCUGACACUCCUAGAGAUAGGACGUUCCCCUUCGGGGGACAGAGUGACAGGUGGUGCAUGGUUGUCGUCAGCUCGUGUCGUGAGAUGUUGGGUUAAGUCCCGCAACGAGCGCAACCCUUGAUCUUAGUUGCCAGCAUUAAGUUGGGCACUCUAAGGUGACUGCCGGUGACAAACCGGAGGAAGGUGGGGAUGACGUCAAAUCAUCAUGCCCCUUAUGACCUGGGCUACACACGUGCUACAAUGGAUGGUACAAAGGGCAGCAAAGCGGUGACGCCUAGCAAAUCCCAUAAAACCAUUCUCAGUUCGGAUUGUAGGCUGCAACUCGCCUACAUGAAGCCGGAAUCGCUAGUAAUCGCGGAUCAGCAUGCCGCGGUGAAUACGUUCCCGGGCCUUGCACUCACCGCCCGU